GACGAACGCUGGCGGCGUGCUUAACACAUGCAAGUCGAACGGAGUGGCGAACGGGUGAGUAACACGUGGGUGACCUGCCCUGCACUUCGGGAAAAGCCCGGGAAACUGGGUCUAAUACCGGAUAGUGUGGGAUGGGCCCGGGGCCUAUUAGCUUGGUGGUUGGGUAAUGGCCUACCAAGUCGGCGACGGGUAGCCGGCCUGGGCGGGUGGACGGCCACAUUGGGACUGAGACACGGCCCAGACUCCUACGGGAGGCAGCAGGGGGGAAUCUUGCACAAUGGGCGGAAGCCUGAUGCAGCGACGCCGCGUGGGGGAUGACGGCCUUCGGGUUGUAAACUCCUUUCACCAUCGACGCGGUAGAUGGAGAAGAAGCACCGGCUAACUACGUGCCAGCAGCCGCGGUAAUUC
Molecule: ribosomal RNA, 408 nt
Filed under: uncultured bacterium
Lineage: Bacteria
Description: partial 16S ribosomal RNA
Rfam family: Bacterial small subunit ribosomal RNA
Source: RNAcentral